This 489-nucleotide ribosomal RNA is filed under the name uncultured bacterium. Its description in RNAcentral is "bacterial SSU rRNA". It matches the Rfam family "Bacterial small subunit ribosomal RNA", at positions 123 to 607 of the family's 1533-position model. The record is from RNAcentral.
GAAUAGGGGGAAAGUGGGGAUCCCUUUACUAGGAAACGGUAGCUAAUACCGCAUAACGUCGCAAGACCAAAGGGGGGGACCUUCGGGCCUCUUGCCUCAAUGUGCCCAGAUGGGAUUAGCUAGUAGGUGGGGUAAUGGCUCACCUAGGCGACGAUCCCUAGCUGGUCUGAGAGGAUGACCAGCCACACUGGAACUGAGACACGGUCCAGACUCCUACGGGAGGCAUCAGUGGGGAAUAUUGCACAAUGGGCGCAAGCCUGAUGCAGCCAUGCCGCGUGUGUGAAGAAGGCCUUCGGGUUGUAAAGCACUUUCAGCGAGGAGGAAGGUGGUGAACUUAAUACGUUCAUCAAUUGACGUUACUCCCAAAAGAAGCACCGGCUAACUCCGUGCCAGCAGCCGCGGUAAUACGGAGGGUGCAAGCGUUAAUCGAAAUUACUGGGCGUAAAGCGCACGUAGGCGGUUUGUUAAGUCAUAUGUGAAAUCCCCGGG